This 252-nucleotide ribosomal RNA is filed under the name uncultured bacterium. RNAcentral's name for it is "partial 16S ribosomal RNA". It matches the Rfam family "Bacterial small subunit ribosomal RNA", at positions 524 to 776 of the family's 1533-position model. The record is from RNAcentral.
UACUGAGGAUGCGAGCGUUAUCCGGAUUUAUUGGGUUUAAAGGGUGCGUAGGCGGGUUAUCAAGUCAGCGGUAAAAUCGUGGAGCUCAACUCCAUCCAGCCGUUGAAACUGAUGAUCUUGAGUGGGCGAGAAGUAUGCGGAAUGCGUGGUGUAGCGGUGAAAUGCAUAGAUAUCACGCAGAACUCCGAUUGCGAAGGCAGCAUACCGGCGCCCGACUGACGCUGAAGCACGAAAGCGUGGGUAUCGAACAGG